RNAcentral lists this ribosomal RNA (465 nucleotides) under uncultured bacterium. RNAcentral's name for it is "partial 16S ribosomal RNA". It matches the Rfam family "Bacterial small subunit ribosomal RNA", at positions 28 to 507 of the family's 1533-position model. The record is from RNAcentral.
GACGAACGCUGGCGGCGUGCUUAACACAUGCAAGUCGAACGGAAAGGCCCUGCUUGCAGGGUACUCGAGUGGCGAACGGGUGAGUAACACGUGGGUGAUCUGCCCUGCACUUCGGGAUAAGCCUGGGAAACUGGGUCUAAUACCGGAUAGGAGCCAUUUUUAGUGUGAUGGUUGGAAAGUUUUUUCGGUGUAGGAUGAGCUCGCGGCCUAUCAGCUUGUUGGUGGGGUAAUGGCCUACCAAGGCGGCGUCGGGUAGCCGGCCUGAGAGGGUGGACGGCCACAUUGGGACUGAGAUACGGCCCAGACUCCUACGGGAGGCAGCAGUGGGGAAUAUUGCACAAGGGGCGCAAGCCUGAUGCAGCGACGCCGCGUGGGGGAUGACGGCCUUCGGGUUGUAAACUCCUUUCGCUAGGGACGAAGCUUUUUGUGACGGUACCUAGAGAAGAAGCACCGGCUAACUACGUG